RNAcentral lists this small nucleolar RNA (132 nucleotides) under Sciurus vulgaris (Eurasian red squirrel). The record is from RNAcentral. Lineage: Eukaryota; Metazoa; Chordata; Mammalia; Rodentia; Sciuridae.
UUGGCCCUGAAUCAAGGCUAGCAGUUUGUUGAAACUGGUGAUUUGAGCAGGUACCUAAAUGUCUUUCUAUAGUCUGUUGGCCAUUUCAGAACUUUGGAAAUUUAAUCAUCAAUUCAUUUGAAAGAAACAUCU